This 252-nucleotide unclassified non-coding RNA is filed under the name uncultured Myxococcales bacterium. RNAcentral's name for it is "contains 16S-23S intergenic spacer region". It matches the Rfam family "Bacterial small subunit ribosomal RNA", at positions 524 to 775 of the family's 1533-position model. Lineage: Bacteria; Pseudomonadati; Myxococcota; Myxococcia; Myxococcales. The record is from RNAcentral.
GACAGAGGGUGCAAGCGUUGUUCGGAAUCACUGGGCGUAAAGCGCGCGUAGGCGGCUGGGUAAGUCGGAUGUGAAAGCCCGGGGCUCAACCCCGGAACUGCAUCCGAAACUGCUCAGCUUGAGUCCCGGAGAGGGUGGUGGAAUUCCUGGUGUAGAGGUGAAAUUCGUAGAUAUCAGGAGGAACACCGGUGGCGAAGGCGACCACCUGGACGGAGACUGACGCUGAGGUGCGAAAGCGUGGGGAGCAACAGG